Molecule: ribosomal RNA, 575 nt
Filed under: Penicillium paradoxum
Lineage: Eukaryota; Fungi; Ascomycota; Eurotiomycetes; Eurotiales; Aspergillaceae
Description: eukaryotic LSU rRNA
Rfam family: Eukaryotic large subunit ribosomal RNA
Source: RNAcentral
AAAGAAACCAACAGGGAUUGCCCCAGUAACGGCGAGUGAAGCGGCAAGAGCUCAAAUUUGAAAGCUGACUCCUUCGGGGUCCGCAUUGUAAUUUGCAGAGGAUGCUUCGGGAGCGGUCCCCAUCUAAGUGCCCUGGAACGGGACGUCAUAGAGGGUGAGAAUCCCGUAUGGGAUGGGGUGUCCGCGCCCGUGUGAAGCUCCUUCGACGAGUCGAGUUGUUUGGGAAUGCAGCUCUAAAUGGGUGGUAAAUUUCAUCUAAAGCUAAAUAUUGGCCGGAGACCGAUAGCGCACAACUAGAGUGAUCGAAAGAUGAAAAGCACUUUGAAAAGAGAGUUAAAAAGCACGUGAAAUUGUUGAAAGGGAAGCGCUUGCGACCAGACUCGCUCGCGGGGUUCAGCCGGCAUUCGUGCCGGUGUAUUUCCCCGCGGGCGGGCCAGCGUCGGUUUGGGCGGUCGGUCAAAGGCCCUCGGAAGGUAACGCCCCCAGGGGCGUCUUAUAGCCGAGGGUGCAAUGCGACCUGCCUAGACCGAGGAACGCGCUUCGGCUCGGACGCUGGCAUAAUGGUCGUAAGCGAC